GAAUCAGCAGAGCUACUGAGUCUGACAGUGGAGGAUACAGCUGCUGCACCAUGAGUCUUUCAGUGUGCAGUGACAUCAUCACACUGACUGUAUCAUCAGAUAAACCCAGGGCCACACUGACAGCAGGAACAACAAUCAUACCAGUAGGGGGCAGUGUGACACUGACCUGCUCUGUGCAGAGCUCUGAUGGAUGGAAAUAUGAGUGGUUCAGACGAACCCAAACAACCUCUGACGGUCAAAUCAGAGAUCAACAAAACAGAGAUAUCAGAGUAUCUCAAGGAGGAAUCUACAGCUGCAGAGGAACAAGAGGAAACCCAGUUUACUACACUGAUAUAAGUGAUGAUGUCACCAUUGAGA
Long non-coding RNA from Oreochromis niloticus (Nile tilapia), 357 nucleotides. RefSeq lists it as uncharacterized. The transcript is spliced from 2 exons. The record is from RefSeq and is a predicted model, not a curated record. Lineage: Eukaryota; Metazoa; Chordata; Actinopteri; Cichliformes; Cichlidae.